Molecule: small nuclear RNA, 104 nt
Organism: Molossus molossus (Pallas's mastiff bat)
Lineage: Eukaryota; Metazoa; Chordata; Mammalia; Chiroptera; Molossidae
Source: RefSeq, a predicted model, not a curated record
GUGCUCGCUUCGGCAGCACAUACACUAAAACUGGAACGAUACGGAGAUUAGCACAACCCCUGCGCAAGGGUGCCAUGCAAAUUGGAGAAGCGGUCCGUAUUAAA